This 75-nucleotide transfer RNA is filed under the name Alphaproteobacteria bacterium HGW-Alphaproteobacteria-5. RNAcentral describes it as "tRNA-Met". It matches the Rfam family "tRNA". Rfam says of the family: Transfer RNA (tRNA) molecules are approximately 80 nucleotides in length. Lineage: Bacteria; Pseudomonadati; Pseudomonadota; Alphaproteobacteria. The record is from RNAcentral.
GUCCGGGUGGAGCAGUGGUAGCUCGGCUGGCCCAUAACCAGCAGGUCGUCGGUUCAAGUCCGGCCCCGGCAACCA